GCGCUUUGGCAGCACAUAUACUAAAAGUGGAACGAUACAGAGAAAAUCAGCAUGACCCCUGCGCAAGGAUGACAUGCAAAUUCAUGAAGCGUUCCAUAUUAAA
Myotis myotis is the source of this 103-nucleotide small nuclear RNA. The record is from RefSeq and is a predicted model, not a curated record. NCBI's taxonomy places the organism in Eukaryota, Metazoa, Chordata, Mammalia, Chiroptera, Vespertilionidae.